GGGUUGUGAGGUUAAGCGACUAAGCGUACACGGUGGAUGCCCUGGCAGUCAGAGGCGAUGAAGGGCGUGCUAAUCUGCGAUAAGCGCCGGUAAGGUGAUAUGAACCGUUAUAACCGGCGAUACCCGAAUGGGGAAACCCAGUGUGAUUCGUCACACUAUCAUUAACUGAAUCCAUAGGUUAAUGAGGCGAACCGGGGGAACUGAAACAUCUAAGUACCCCGAGGAAAAGAAAUCAACCGAGAUUCCCCCAGUAGCGGCGAGCGAACGGGGAGGAGCCCAGAGCCUGAAUCAGCAUGUGUGUUAGUGGAAGCGUCUGGAAAGGCGCGCGAUACAGGGUGACAGCCCCGUACACAAAAGCGCAUGUGCUGUGAGCUCGAUGAGUAGGGCGGGACACGUGGUAUCCUGUCUGAAUAUGGGGGGACCAUCCUCCAAGGCUAAAUACUCCUGACUGACCGAUAGUGAACCAGUACCGUGAGGGAAAGGCGAAAAGAACCCCGGCGAGGGGAGUGAAAAAGAACCUGAAACCGUGUACGUACAAGCAGUGGGAGCACCCUUCGGGGUGUGACUGCGUACCUUUUGUAUAAUGGGUCA
RNAcentral lists this ribosomal RNA (591 nucleotides) under Salmonella enterica subsp. enterica serovar Indiana. Its description in RNAcentral is "partial 23S ribosomal RNA". It matches the Rfam family "Bacterial large subunit ribosomal RNA", at positions 1 to 622 of the family's 2925-position model. The record is from RNAcentral. Lineage: Bacteria; Pseudomonadati; Pseudomonadota; Gammaproteobacteria; Enterobacterales; Enterobacteriaceae.